UAUUCAAAGAUUAAAUAAUCUCUUUUACAGCUUCAAUGUAAUACUCUUUUAUAAGUUAUUUGAAU
This 65-nucleotide transfer RNA is filed under the name Periscepsia handlirschi. RNAcentral's name for it is "tRNA-Phe". The record is from RNAcentral. Lineage: Eukaryota; Metazoa; Arthropoda; Insecta; Diptera; Tachinidae.